AGAGGCUUAGGAACGGGUCCACAACGGCAACGGAUGGAGAUCCUACUGCGAAUACAGGAACCCUGUGGUCGCAUUU
This 76-nucleotide transfer RNA is filed under the name Shewanella putrefaciens. Its description in RNAcentral is "tRNA-Val". The record is from RNAcentral. Lineage: Bacteria; Pseudomonadati; Pseudomonadota; Gammaproteobacteria; Alteromonadales; Shewanellaceae.